GAUUGGUUGUGUUUGGAAAAGGAAAGCAAGUAAAUUCCUGUUAGACUUUUGUGUCUUAGGUCAAGAAUUGUGGGUAAUGUUUUGAAAAAAGUGUUUUAUGCCGUUGAAAACUGAGUGAAAGGCUGAGAAAUGGCUAAUAGGUUUGGAGAUUUGGUGUGUAGUUUGGCACUUUGAGUGAGAGGUUUCAAAAACUGUGUGACACAAAAAGAUUUUGUGUGUAAGCAGUUG
Long non-coding RNA from Etheostoma spectabile (orangethroat darter), 228 nucleotides. RefSeq lists it as uncharacterized. Lineage: Eukaryota; Metazoa; Chordata; Actinopteri; Perciformes; Percidae. The transcript is spliced from 2 exons. The record is from RefSeq and is a predicted model, not a curated record.